CUCUGUGACUCCUACGGGAGGCAGCAGUGGGGAAUAUUGGACAAUGGGCGCAAGCCUGAUCCAGCCAUGCCGCGUGAGUGAUGAAGGCCCUAGGGUUGUAAAGCUCUUUCACCGGUGAAGAUAAUGACGGUAACCGGAGAAGAAGCCCCGGCUAACUUCGUGCCAGCAGCCGCGGUAAUACGGAGGGUGCGAGCGUUAAUCGGAAUUACUGGGCGUAAAGCGCAUGCAGGUGGUUUGUUAAGUCAGAUGUGAAAGCCCGGGGCUCAACCUCGGAACUGCAUUUGAAACUGGCAGACUAGAGUACUGUAGAGGGGGUAGAAUUUCAGGUGUAGCGGUGAAAUGCGUAGAGAUCUGAAGGAAUACCGGUGGCGAAGGCGGCCCCCUGGACAGAUACUGACACUCAGAUGCGAAAGCGUGGGGAGCAAACAGGAUUAGAUACCCUGGUAG
RNAcentral lists this ribosomal RNA (447 nucleotides) under uncultured bacterium. RNAcentral describes it as "bacterial SSU rRNA". It matches the Rfam family "Bacterial small subunit ribosomal RNA", at positions 328 to 793 of the family's 1533-position model. The record is from RNAcentral.